Molecule: ribosomal RNA, 497 nt
Filed under: uncultured bacterium
Lineage: Bacteria
Description: bacterial SSU rRNA
Rfam family: Bacterial small subunit ribosomal RNA
Source: RNAcentral
CAAGGAGAACAUUAUCUUCGGAUAAUAAGUAAACUGGCGAACGGGUGAGUAACGCGUAAACAACUUGCCUCAGAGAUUGGGACAACAUUGGGAAACCAGUGCUAACACCAAAUAAUGCAGCGGGCUCUUCGGAGCACAGUUGUUAAAGUAGGCUUCGGCUUACACUUUGAGAUAGGUUUGCGUCCGAUUAGUUAGUUGGUAGGGUAAAAGCCUACCAAGACCAAGAUCGGUAGCUGGUCUGAGAGGAUGAUCAGCCACACUGGAAUUGAGAUACGGUCCAGACUCCUACGGGAGGCAGCAGUAAGGAAUUUUGCACAAUGGGCGAAAGCCUGAUGCAGCAACGCCGCGUGAACGAUGAAGUUUUUAGGAAUGUAAAGUUCUGUCGUAUGGGAAGAGAUCUUUCGAAUGUUAAUACCAUUCGUUAAUGACGGUACCAUACAAGAAAGCACCGGCUAACUUCGUGCCAACAGCCGCGGUAAUACGAGGGGUGCUAGCGU